Molecule: non-coding RNA, 24 nt
Filed under: Arabidopsis thaliana (thale cress)
Lineage: Eukaryota; Viridiplantae; Streptophyta; Magnoliopsida; Brassicales; Brassicaceae
Source: RNAcentral
AUAGUCAUAUCCCACUUGAGCUGC